Molecule: ribosomal RNA, 253 nt
Filed under: uncultured bacterium
Lineage: Bacteria
Description: partial 16S ribosomal RNA
Rfam family: Bacterial small subunit ribosomal RNA
Source: RNAcentral
UACGAAGGGGGCUAGCGUUGCUCGGAAUCACUGGGCGUAAAGGGUGCGUAGGCGGGUCUUUAAGUCAGGGGGGAAAUCCUGGAGCUCAACUCCAGAACUGCCUUUGAUACUGGCUAUCUUGAGUUCGGGAGAGGUGAGUGGAAUGCCGAGUGUAGAGGUGAAAUUCGUAGAUAUUCGCAAGAACACCAGUGGCGAAGGCGGCUCACUGGCCCGAUACUGACGCUGAGGCACGAAAGCGUGGGGAGCAAACAGG